GAGGAUAUAACUCAAAGACAGAGUGCAUGCCUAGCAUGCACAAGGUCCUGGAUUCAAUCCCCAGUACCUCCA
This 72-nucleotide transfer RNA is filed under the name Camelus bactrianus (Bactrian camel). It matches the Rfam family "tRNA". From Rfam's summary of the family: Transfer RNA (tRNA) molecules are approximately 80 nucleotides in length. Their secondary structure includes four short double-helical elements and three loops (D, anti-codon, and T loops). Lineage: Eukaryota; Metazoa; Chordata; Mammalia; Artiodactyla; Camelidae. RNAcentral also lists the same sequence under 2 other names. The record is from Rfam by way of RNAcentral.